Long non-coding RNA from Hyla sarda, 327 nucleotides. RefSeq lists it as uncharacterized. The record is from RefSeq and is a predicted model, not a curated record. The transcript has 3 exons. NCBI's taxonomy places the organism in Eukaryota, Metazoa, Chordata, Amphibia, Anura, Hylidae.
GCGGUGGGAUAAAAUAUUGGAAACAUUGAAAAACCUGUUUUCACCACCAGAGAGAUGGACUUCUCCUCCACGAACAGGAAACAUCCCUCUCUGCCUCAGUGAAUUACCGAGACUCAAGUGAACACACCUCAUGUGAGAAGAACAAGAAUAGGGUCACCUGAGAAAGGGGGCGUUUCCUCCGAAAUGUCAGAAGUGUCCGGCAACUACUCACCUGUCUCCCCCUUCAUGAGACAGCUUCAUGGACAGCUCCGGGAUACCCAAGAAAGGGUGAAGUUAAUCCGGUUGCUGAACGAGGACUGUCGGUGUAUCUAGUGAGCACUCUGGGUG